UCCUGCCAGUAGUCAUAUGCUUGUCUCAAAGAUUAAGCCAUGCAUGUCUAAGUACAGACUGAAACAAAGUGAAACCGCGAAUGGCUCAUUAAAUCAGUUAUGGUUUAUUGGAUCUUACCAUGUCCUACUUGGAUAACUGUGGUAAUUCUAGAGCUAAUACAUGCAAACCAGCUCUGACCGCAAGGGAAGAGCGCUUUUAUUAGAUCAAAACCAAUCGGGCUUCGGUCCGUUGUCACUGUGGUGACUCUGAAUAACUUUGAGCUGAGCGCAUGGUCUCUGCACCGGCGCCAUAUCCUUCAAGUGUCUGCCUUAUCAGCUUUCGAUUGUAGGUUACGCGCCUACAAUGGCUGUAACGGGUAACGGGGAAUCAGGGUUCGAUUCCGGAGAGGGAGCCUGAGAAACGGCUACCACAUCUAAGGAAGGCAGCAGGCACGCAAAUUACCCACUCCCGGCACGGGGAGGUAGUGACGAAAAAUAACGAUGCGGGACUCUUCCGAGGCCUCGCAAUCGGAAUGAAUACACUUUAAAUCCUUUAAUGAGGAUCUAUUGGAGGGCAAGUCUGGUGCCAGCAGCCGCGGUAAUUCCAGCUCCAAUAGCGUAUAUUAAAGUUGCUGCGGUUAAAAAGCUCGUAGUUGGAUCUCAGUUCCGGACCGAUGGUACACCGCCCGGUGUAUACUGUCGGCUUCCGAACAGCCACAGGCUGGCUCGGUCAGGGUGCUCUUCAUUGAGUGCCCUGGCACGGUCGGCAAGUUUACUUUGAAAAAAUUAGAGUGCUCAGUGCAGGCUGUUAUGCCCGCAUAAUUUGUGCAUGGAAUAAUGGAAUAGGACCUCGGUUCUAUUUUGUUGGUUUUAAGAACCCGAGGUAAUGAUUAAUAGGAACAGUCGGGGGCAUUUGUAUUGCGACGUUAGAGGUGAAAUUCUUGGAUCGUCGCAAGACAAACUACUGCGAAAGCAUUUGCCAAGAAUGUUUUCAUUAAUCAAGAACGAAAGUUAGAGGUUCGAAGGCGAUCAGAUACCGCCCUAGUUCUAACCAUAAACGAUGCCAACCAGCGAUCCGCCGGCGUUAUUCCCAUGACUCGGCGGGAAGCUUCCGGGAAACCAAAGUUUUUGGGUUCCAGGGGAAGUAUGGUUGCAAAGCUGAAACUUAAAGGAAUUGACGGAAGGGCACCACCAGGAGUGGAGCCUGCGGCUUAAUUUGACUCAACACGGGGAACCUCACCAGGCCCAGACACUGGAAGGAUUGACAGAUUGAGAGCUCUUUCUCGAUUCAGUGGGUGGUGGUGCAUGGCCGUUCUUAGUUGGUGGAGCGAUUUGUC
Molecule: ribosomal RNA, 1316 nt
Filed under: Eobathynella sp. MNCN ADN 54875
Lineage: Eukaryota; Metazoa; Arthropoda; Malacostraca; Bathynellacea; Parabathynellidae
Description: SSU rRNA
Rfam family: Eukaryotic small subunit ribosomal RNA
Source: RNAcentral